CCGGCGACCGGCGCACGGGUGAGUAACACGUAUGGAACCUGCCCGCAGCAGGGGGAUAAGCGGAAGAAAUUCCGUCUAAUACCGCGUAACAACGUUGGGAGACAUCUCCCGAUGUUUAAAGAUUUAUCGGCUGCGGAUGGCCAUGCGGCGCAUUAGCUAGUCGGCGGGGUAACGGCCCACCGAGGCGACGAUGCGUAGGGGUUCUGAGAGGAAGGUCCCCCACACUGGUACUGAGACACGGACCAGACUCCUACGGGAGGCAGCAG
RNAcentral lists this ribosomal RNA (266 nucleotides) under uncultured bacterium. RNAcentral's name for it is "partial 16S ribosomal RNA". It matches the Rfam family "Bacterial small subunit ribosomal RNA", at positions 88 to 354 of the family's 1533-position model. The record is from RNAcentral.